CCCAGGCUGGAAUGUAGUGGGGCAAUCUCAGCUCACUGCAACCUCCACCUCCCAGGUUAAAGUGAUUCUCCUGCCUCAGCCUCCCAAGUAGCUGGGAUUAUAGGCUCCCACCACCAUGCCUGGCUAAUUAUUUGUAUUUUUAGUAGAGAUGGGGUUUUACCAUGUUAGCCAGGAUGGUCUCAAUCUCCUGACCUCAUGAUCUGCCCGCCUUAGCCUCCCAAAGUGCUGGGAUUACAGGCGUGAGCCACCGUGCCCACCAAGAGCUUGCACUUAUUGAGCUAAUUCAAUACCUCAUCUUGAAAGCACUUUUAAUUUUAUAUACUCAGGCAAAAUGACAGUUUGCUUCAAUAUCUAACAGUCUCUUCAGUUUCCUUUGUAUUUUCUUGCCUCUUUAAUCAGAGCUAAAGACGUUUCAUAAAAUGGGCAUGAAGGAUUCCCUCAAAUGAAGAUGUAGACAAAAUGAUUGGUGAGGUCCUUUGCUCUACUGUUGAAUGGAGGAGGAUUUUUCCCCCCAACACACACAGGGGUUUUCUUGGAGCUCAAGUUUGGACAACCCCAGACAAUCAAAUUUGGAUGCCAACUAUGUGGAACAGAAGUAUGGCUGCUGUGGUUGAAUUGAUCCCCCUGUCAGCCACACCCUUUGUCUCCCCCUACCCCAAGGGACUCUGUGGCCUGGAACUGCAGUGUGAAAUGCUAUAUAGUGCAAUGAAGUCAAUUCUAAGACAAGAGUUCUUUGCCUCUCUCAUCUAAUUUUUAGUUACGGAGAUGAGACACUUGUUCAGAAGUAUGGAAAAGUAUAUAUAAUAUGUUAUCUUUUAGAUAUGUGUGUAAAUAUGCAUAUGUAUACAAUGUGCUUAUAUUUUAACGCAUAAACAACAUGAAUAAAGCAAACACUCUAGACUUCUCCAAAUGUAUCUUGUUUUAUAGUUUUCAAUUUGGAAAAUGUCAACAUUUUUACAUUAAAAAAUAUUACUCAGCCAUAAAAAAGAAUGAAAUCACGUCUCUUGCAGCAACAUGGACAGAACUGGAUGCCAUUAUUCUAAGUGAAAUAAUUCAGAAACAGAAAGUUAGAUACCACAUGUUCUCACUUUUAAGUGGGAGCUAAAUAAUGUGUACACAUGGGGACAGAAUGUAAAAUAAUAGACUUUGAAAGGGAGGUUGAGGCAGGAGGACCAUUUGAGGCCAGGAAUUUGAGACAAGCCUGGCCAACAUGGUGAAACUCCUUCUCUACUAAAAAUGCAAACAAAUUAGCCGGACAUGGUGGCUGACACCUGUUAUGUCAGCAGUUUGGGAGGCCAAAGUGGGUGGAUCACUUGAGGUCAGGAGUUCGAGACCAGCCUGGCCAACAUGGUGAAACCCCAUCUCUACUAAAAAUACAAAAAAAUUAACUGGGCAUGGUGGUGCAUGCCUGUAAUCCCAGCUACUUGGGAGGGUGAGGCACGAGAAUCAUGAGCUGAGAUUGCACCGCUGCACUCCAGCCUGGGUAACAGAGCAAGACUCUGUCAACAAAAAAAAAAAAAAAAAAGGAGGAGGAGGGCGAGGGAUGAGAAAUUACUUAAUGGGUACAAUGUACACUACUACACUCAAAGCCCAGACAUCACCACUGAGCAACCAAUCCAUUUGACAAAACUACACACCUGCACUUGUACACAUUAAAUUUAUACAAAAACAAAAAACAAAGGCAAAUCAAAAAGGAAAAUGAAACAAAGUGAUCUCUAAACAACACAAACAGUAACUGAUGAACCUAGCUGCGUAUCGUGUCAGUUCCAAAAUCACACAGAGACGAAUUGCUUUCGAAUGACCCUACAACACAGUAUUUUGAUCAUAUAUUCUCCAGUAGGGUAUAAGCUAAGGACAAAGAAAAACACAUGAAAUCUUAGAUGGUACCCGGUAGUUUUAUUGUUAAUAAUGAUGCUGGUGUUAUUAUUUUGAAACUCAUGUCCAUUUCUCAGCUACCACUUGAUACUAAUUUUUUUUUUUUUUUUUUUUGAGAUGGAAUUUUGCUCUGUCACCCAGGCUGGAGUGCAGUGGCAAGUUCUCAGCUCACUGCAACCUCUACCUCCUGGGUUCAAGCGAUUCUUCUGCUUCAGCCUCCCAAGUAGCUGGGAUUACAGGCGUGCGCCACCACACCUGGCUAAUUUUUGUGUUUUUAGUAGAGAUGGGGUUUCGUCAUGUUGGCCAGGCAGGUCUCAAACUUCUGACUUUAGGUGAUCCGCCUGCCUCAGCCUUCCAAAGUGCUGGGAUUACAGGCGCAAGCCACUGCAUCCGGCCAGUGAUUUUUAACCUUUAUCAAUCUGAUAGACAAAAAGAUCAUUUCAUUGUUUUAACUUCAUUAAUUAUUAGUAAAUCUGGCAAUAUAUUAGGAAAACAAUGACAAGAAUAAUUUGAUACAAAAUGCACAAAAUUAGACGUCCUCGAAGAUCAUUUUAGAGGCAGCAUGAAGUGGGGGCAGCGCUGGCGGUGGGGGCUGGGUGUGGAGAAAACCAGCCAAAGGAGGACUCAUGGGAUCCUGGAGCUUUUGACUGGGGUUCACUUGGAGCCCAGACUCAGGCCGGUUCUGACAGGAGCACCUGCCAGGCCUCAGCUUAGGGGCACAAGGUGGGACACAUGGACUGGGUGUGUGGUCCCAGAGCCUAAGAGGCACCAACAGGGGGUUCUCUGCAGAGACCAGCGUCUGGCCAGGAACUGCUUUUGCACAAGGAGCCAGAAGUAGUUUGCCCCAGUAAGUGGGGGCCUGGACUCACACAAAGCAUUGCACCACGGAUGGCCAGAGAAACUCAGAGAACCUUCCUGUGCUUGUUAACAUACUCUCUCACUUCCUCUGUAGCCUCCGCCAAGCCAAGCAGUCAGCUCCUAGGACUCCCCUCCCUCCACCUGAGGCUGCUUCUCCUCCCUUCCUCAGGAAUCUCCAGCCUCCUGGGGUUUCCCCUCCCCGCUGCCAGCUCCAGCAGGGGCUGUCAACGGCCUGGGAGAGAGAAGUGGGCUUCCUGGGGCCACCUUCCCGACUUUGGAGUGUUCAGAAGGUGAUAGAGUGACCACCAGGGGGCAGUGUGGACAGGUCUCCAUAGGACUGGUCAGGCAGACUCCUUUGCAGAGACCUCGCAGGACAGGAGCCCUCCACACACCUUUCCCACGGGAGCUUCUCCCUCCACCCCGAGUCACUACUAUCUGCUUUCCUAGAAGGCACUUCUUUACUUUUAAUUCUUCUCCACUCUCCAGGUACCUGAUAUUCUCACAUGG
This is a long non-coding RNA of Macaca mulatta (Rhesus monkey), 3240 nucleotides long. Lineage: Eukaryota; Metazoa; Chordata; Mammalia; Primates; Cercopithecidae. The record is from Ensembl.